RNAcentral lists this long non-coding RNA (1484 nucleotides) under Macaca mulatta (Rhesus monkey). RNAcentral describes it as "lncRNA (ENSMMUG00000053984.1)". Lineage: Eukaryota; Metazoa; Chordata; Mammalia; Primates; Cercopithecidae. The record is from RNAcentral.
AUAUUGCAUAGAGAAUACGGUGAAGCAUUAAUAUUUGGGCAAGCCAGUUUGAACUGAGAGAUAUGAGGUGUUUUGGAGAACAAUAACAACCAAAAAACCCAAUGUCUAAACCAUAAAAUUCAAAGCAAAAAUGUAAAAAAUAUAGCCCUUAAAAAUUUUGAUCCAGGCUAUUCUUUGUAUUUACAGGAUCUGCAUUCACUUUUUCUACUGGAUGUAAAUAGCAGACAAUAUUCUUCAUGUAUAUUAAAUUAAGAAUGUGAGGAUAUUUCUACACUCAAAAUCCAGUUGACUAUUUAAAUGAGAGAACAACAUAUAUAGGAUCCAGAUGCCCUCUAAUUGUUUGUAUUAACUCUUUCCCACAAUCACCAGCAUAUGUAUAUGUCUCCUUCUUCUCCUAGCUGAUUGGGAACCAGAGCCCCUGUGAAAAAUACCUCUAGUAUUUGUAAGGGAGAAGAAAGAUGGAUUUUGCUGAGAUCUUUGUAUUCCUCACAGCACAGACUAAACAUUCCAAAGUGCUCCAGAAACACAGCAUGCGAUGCCCUGAGUGCCAACUGUGCCUUUCACUUGCACUUGACUGAAAACACCCAGAAGACUGAAAGCCACAAUUUUUGCCUUUGGUGGGGAAUCAAGCAUACGAACUAUUGGUAACAAACAGAGGAACACUGCUUAUCAGAGGAACACUGCUUAUCCUCUGAAAUCGAAGAACAGUCUUAUCAGGAAAUGCCCUUGCCUCACUCACUCACAGAAAGACCUAAGUUCUCCCUCAGGAUCUGUGACUAGUGGUCUCACGGUCCAGACAUUUUGGAGAAAUUUUCCUUCUCUUCCAAGUUUCUCUUGCUUUCUCCCAGUGUUCUCAUUCUGUUUUAUGUUAAGCACAACACCCCAGCAUGCCACUCAACUCAUCAUUGGUCUGUAUCAGCAUCCAGAAAUUCCACUGUUAUGUAUCCAUUUCUUAAAGGACACCUGAACAGCAGAAUGCUUUAUGAACAUUAUUUAAUCAAGUCUUAUGACAGUCCCGUGAGGGGAACUGGGAAACUGAGAGAUUGGCUUAAUCUCUGCAUAGGUAAGGAGACCUGUCAGGAGGAGCAGGGCAAACAUGCAGGAAGAGACAGGCUGGGAGGUUAAGCGGAGAAUGGGGAUUGAUAGCAGAUGUGCAUUUAAACCUUUCUAACCAGCUAUGCACCUGGAGGAAAUACCUACAUCUGAAUCCUUCUGAGGUGCUCCUGUGGAGUUUUAUGUAUGUCACUCCAAAAUAAUAGCAAUAUUCUAUGUAAUUCAGUGAUUUUAAAUUCACUAAAGCAAAUGCUUGUUAAACAAUGUUUGCAUUUUUUCUCUCUUUUGCUGUCCUCCCUCCCUCUCUGUGGCCGCCUCUCUGGGGCUCAAAUUUGUCAGCCACAAGACUGACUGAAAUACAAGUAAGUAAAGCAAAUGACCACAUUCAUUGUCCAUGACAAACCCAAACCAUAUUCCAUCACAUCCCUGUG